GCCCUGGCAGUCAGAGGCGAUGAAGGACGUGCUAAUCUGCGAUAAGCGUCGGUAAGGUGAUAUGAACCGUUAUAACCGGCGAUUUCCGAAUGGGGAAACCCAGUGUGAUUCGUCACACUAUCAUUAACUGAAUCCAUAGGUUAAUGAGGCGAACCGGGGGAACUGAAACAUCUAAGUACCCCGAGGAAAAGAAAUCAACCGAGAUUCCCCCAGUAGCGGCGAGCGAACGGGGAGGAGCCCAGAGCCUGAAUCAGUGUGUGUGUUAGUGGAAGCGUCUGGAAAGGCGCGCGAUACAGGGUGACAGCCCCGUACACAAAAAUGCACAUGCUGUGAGCUCGAUGAGUAGGGCGGGACACGUGGUAUCCUGUCUGAAUAUGGGGGGACCAUCCUCCAAGGCUAAAUACUCCUGACUGACCGAUAGUGAACCAGUACCGUGAGGGAAAGGCGAAAAGAACCCCGGCGAGGGGAGUGAAAAAGAACCUGAAACCGUGUACGUACAAGCAGUGGGAGCACAGAGCAAUCUGUGUGACUGCGUACCUUUUGUAUAAUGGGUCAGCGACUUAUAUUCUGUAGCAAGGUUAACCGAAUAGGGGAGCCGAAGGGAAACCGAGUCUUAACUGGGCGUUAAGUUGCAGGGUAUAGACCCGAAACCCGGUGAUCUAGCCAUGGGCAGGUUGAAGGUUGGGUAACACUAACUGGAGGACCGAACCGACUAAUGUUGAAAAAUUAGCGGAUGACUUGUGGCUGGGGGUGAAAGGCCAAUCAAACCGGGAGAUAGCUGGUUCUCCCCGAAAGCUAUUUAGGUAGCGCCUCGUGAAUUCAUCUCCGGGGGUAGAGCACUGUUUCGGCAAGGGGGUCA
RNAcentral lists this ribosomal RNA (859 nucleotides) under Escherichia coli. RNAcentral describes it as "partial 23S ribosomal RNA". It matches the Rfam family "Bacterial large subunit ribosomal RNA", at positions 30 to 929 of the family's 2925-position model. Lineage: Bacteria; Pseudomonadati; Pseudomonadota; Gammaproteobacteria; Enterobacterales; Enterobacteriaceae. The record is from RNAcentral.